GACACGCUCCUUAGAUCCACCUCUGGGGGGCGCUGUUCUCUGAGCAGACGCCCUCAGCAGCUUUCUGGCUGUACAGUUGGAGGUGCCUGAGUCAUUGGCGUGUGAGAACAGUCUACCUGUUCCCCGGCUCACCUGCACCACUGGCAGAUUUAUCCAGUGUUGCUAGCCAGGGGGACGGACAUC
Nerophis lumbriciformis (worm pipefish) is the source of this 183-nucleotide small nucleolar RNA. RefSeq annotates it as small nucleolar RNA SNORA53. Lineage: Eukaryota; Metazoa; Chordata; Actinopteri; Syngnathiformes; Syngnathidae. The record is from RefSeq and is a predicted model, not a curated record.